AUUUAAUGCUGACAAUAAAAUUAUUUAGGGUAGGAAUUAUAGAUACAAGGAUUAAAGCAUUAAUUAAAAAUCUAGGAAUUAGAGGUGUGUUUUACUUUGAACCAAAUUAGUAUAGAGUGCUGUGUAUGGAAACAGAAACUAUUGUAUUGAUCAAUCAAAUCAGAGUUUGGCCAUCUUAUCCACUGAUUUGUCUCCUAUACCAGGCAAAGUGGAGAAACUUGAUUCAUCUUGGUAACUUUAUAGGAUUUCUAGGUCUUAUAGCUCUCACACGCUCUUUUCCAUUGCCCUUUUACUUUUCCAUUUAACCAAUAAUCUUUCUCUCUCUCUCUCUCUCUCUUUUUGUCUCACUCCACCCCUCUCUCUCUCUCUCCCCCAUAGAAUCUUGGGGUCUUUUGCCAUCGCCCUCCCCACUGUGCAGAAUUACAUAAUGCUGCAAAUGAGGAUCAUCCCUUGGCUAAUGACUUGUCACUCUAGCCAACUACGUGACCCUUGUCUUCUCUUUCAAUUGCCUUUCUGUAGGGUCAUUAUCCUAUAGAAAGUUGAGUCUUGAGAUAAUGGUCUGGUUUUCCAUCAGCUAUGCUAAAGUCUUCCACAUGACAUUAUUUUCUCAUGGUGGGGCCCUUUUCCAGUUUUGUUCUUUUUUUUAAUGGGUAACCACAAGCUGGGGAUAGGAUUUUUUUUGGGUGGACCUCCAAAUGCCACGUGUCUAGAUCAUAGGGUGGGGGUGAUACAGAGGACUGAUCCUCCCAAUAAAGGCUUUUGUUGAUGAUGUUCAGAUUGGGGGGAGGGUAUGGAAGGUCCAUAUUCCAAAUUCUCCUUUUUCAAAUCUCAUUUGGCUACCAUUAAUGCCGUUGCCAUUCUCUUGCAAGAUCGUUUUCCCAUUUGUACAAACGCCAUUUGGUCUUCUUCUACCUUUUCUGGAGAUUCUCUCUGCAACAACCGGUAAACAGAUGUAGAGGGUGGAGAUUUUUAAGAUCAGACCUCAGGGGAAGAGUAGAUAUCAACCUUCCAGCUUCAAUAAUAUUUACUUUUUCAACCAGGAUUUGGAUAGUAUUCCUCUCAUCCUUAAAUUUUGAAGUUAAAAAUGUUAAAUUAAAGCCCUAGAUCUCAUUGAUUUUGCCUUCUAAGUUCUACCUCAUAAUACGAUGCAAAAGAAUUGGAAAAGUAUAAAGAGUAAAUGCAUUGGCCUUGGGUUGAAGCAUGCUAAAUUGGUGUAUAGCUUUUUUCCCAAGCUUAGGUGAUAGGAAAAUGACUUUUUAUGUUAUUGGGUAAAACUUACCUUUACUAUUCGAAGCCGAAAGUGUGUUGGCUAAAACAUAGAAAAAGUUCCACGUUUUAGAUUUCCAAUGCCACACACAUCAAUAGGAUCUCUGCCGGAUUUUCUUCAAUAUCUUUUCUUUCUUAGCCUUGCAGUAGCGAUUAUUUCUUUAUUUUUAUAUGGGAUGUGAAUUUCUUUAGGGUGUAAAUCAAAAUGGAAAUACAAGCUCGAUGAUAAUAGUGAUAAAAUUCCAUGUGUCUGUUUUUUACUUAUAUGGAGAUGACCCUUUUUUUC
Molecule: long non-coding RNA, 1552 nt
Organism: Benincasa hispida (wax gourd)
Lineage: Eukaryota; Viridiplantae; Streptophyta; Magnoliopsida; Cucurbitales; Cucurbitaceae
Source: RefSeq, a predicted model, not a curated record